AUACGGAGGGUGCGAGCGUUGUUCGGAAUUAUUGGGCGUAAAGAGCAUGUAGGCGGUCUGUUAAGUCUGGUGUGAAAGCCCGGGGCUCAACCCCGGAAGUGCAUUGGAUAUUGGCAGACUUGAGUAUGGGAGAGGAAAGCGGAAUUCCGAGUGUAGGAGUGAAAUCCGUAGAUAUUCGGAGGAACACCAGUGGCGAAGGCGGCUUUCUGGACCAAUACUGACGCUGAGAUGCGAAAGCGUGGGGAGCAAACAGGAUUAGAAACCCUAGUAGUCC
This 274-nucleotide ribosomal RNA is filed under the name uncultured bacterium. RNAcentral's name for it is "partial 16S ribosomal RNA". It matches the Rfam family "Bacterial small subunit ribosomal RNA", at positions 523 to 796 of the family's 1533-position model. The record is from RNAcentral.